Long non-coding RNA from Daucus carota subsp. sativus, 1455 nucleotides. RefSeq lists it as uncharacterized. The transcript has 4 exons. Lineage: Eukaryota; Viridiplantae; Streptophyta; Magnoliopsida; Apiales; Apiaceae. The record is from RefSeq and is a predicted model, not a curated record.
UUGAAUACAAAAUUCUAAAUUAAUCUCUAAGUCCCUUGUGCUGGGUCAUAAACUCAUAGUCACCCACGUGAGAGUAACUGUAUUUAUUUUAAAAAUAAAAUUAAUCUAAAAUGCCUGCAGGCUCUUCAACUCUUUCUAUUUGCUCUAAACUCCGUCCUGCUGCCGAGAAAUCUCCACUCUCUACUGUACCAUCGAUUAAUUACUCUACGCCACUCUCAAUUAAUUCCAACUACAGAUCGUUUUAUUAUGCCGGGCUUCCCCACUUAUGGGUUUAGUUGUGGGUUAGGGUUCUCUCGAUUUAGGGCUCCGACACAAUUCUCUCGAUUUAGGGGUUGAUUUUACUCUCGAUUUUGGGCUGCUACCGGGUUGCCUUGAUUUAGGAUCUUUUGUGCUACUAAGUUCGAGUUUGGGAUUAUUUGGUCUUUAUAUUCAGGGGUUGCUACUGUGAUUGAUUCUUUGUGUUGCUUGGUGAUUUCGAGUACUGCUGCUGGGUUUUGUUGGAUUACUACUGCUACUACUGGUGUGUUUUUACACCCAAAAGGUGCGAUUGCUGGCUUCUCUAUGUUAUAUUGAUCGUAGCAACGAAAAUCAAGUCAAUAACUCUUUGCUCCACUGGCCAUCUGUGUUACUUAUCCAUUGCUGGAUUUUUUUUGGCUUUCUAGUCAUUUCAGGUUCUUAAUAUAUAAGGUGUACACACUUUUCUGUUGAUGUUGAUUGAGGAUUCUUGUGAUUAUAUGUUUUUCUUUUCUUUUUCUUUUACCUUUUGGUCAAAUGGUGUUGAGUCCUUUCUUACGACUUGCAUUAGCAAAAUGUUUAAUGAAUGCUGCCUCUUCUCAGGUGUAAUUCACUAUGAUGAUUUCAGUUCUUAUUUUUAUUCUUUGAUUUUGUCAAUCCAGGUUUUGUCUCUGGGUAGAAGGCUUAUUUUGAGGAUCAUUACUGAGAAACCUGCUUUUAUGUUGCCAUGUGUACUUUUUUAGUCUAACCUGCUUUAUGCAAUAGUAUAGUGCUGGCUUUGCAGAGAUCUGAAAAGUCACAACCUUACUUGCAUUCCUUAUCUUCAGUUCUUGCUGCUAUAUAUCAAGGCAUUGCUUCUCGGGCUUAAAUCACGCACUAGUUUCCGGCGCCAAGGAGCAUCCUAGUUAUGGGGAAAUAACAGAAUGAAAGCUAGAUCCAGCAGACAGUUUCUCCUUUCCAUCUUUUCCGAUAAUAAAAGAUCGAAAGCUUUCAAUUCCGAUGCUAGGAGUUGAUAGCUCCCUGGAGAGGAAUAUGUGAAUGCUUCUAGUUUUGUGGUCAUGCCUGGACGCGGGAGAAAGUUGACAGUGCAUUCAAAUGUAUAAAUAUGCUAUUAAUUGUUAAGUUUAGAUUACAUAAUGCUUUGUAGAGUCAUAUUUUUCAAUGUAAUAAACAGUUAUGUGAUAUUUAUUAUUAAUAAGAUCGAAUCGAUGGUUCACUUUU